Molecule: microRNA, 22 nt
Filed under: Caenorhabditis elegans
Lineage: Eukaryota; Metazoa; Nematoda; Chromadorea; Rhabditida; Rhabditidae
Description: Cel-Mir-62_5p* (star (passenger))
Source: RNAcentral
GUGAGUUAGAUCUCAUAUCCUU